Molecule: long non-coding RNA, 1273 nt
Organism: Eupeodes corollae
Lineage: Eukaryota; Metazoa; Arthropoda; Insecta; Diptera; Syrphidae
Exons: 2
Source: RefSeq, a predicted model, not a curated record
UCGAAUACUAUACUAAAUAAUAUAAAUAUUUCAACUGAAUAUUGAAGAAAGGGAUCAUAGAUUUGGAAAACCAUAACGAAUUUUAUUAUAAAAAAGCUAUUCCACAAGUUUAGAUAGCCUCAAAAAUCCUGAUAUACGUUUCUGUUUGUUAUUUUAAAAAGUAAUAUCUCAAAACCUAAGUGAUACAUUCAUUUUAAAGUCGGAUUUGAAUUAAGACUAUCAAAACCCAUUGCAAAAGUGUAAUUUUAUUUCCAGUGUGAUAAUCUUAACGACCAGUUAAAAAUCUGAGCAUUUUGAAAUCGCAAAUUGACACAAAUUUUAAAACAUUUAGUAAAAUGUUAAAUACAUUUAUAGCAAUUUACUAAGCUUAAAAGAUGAUUUACUUAAUUUUAAACGUUUUAAGUAUCUCAUUAUCUCUUAAAAAUGUUGCUAAAGUUAAAAUCAAGGAAUAUCUUCUCUAACUUUUUGCUUAAUCUAUAUGACUUCUUUACAAUUAUUCUUUUAAGAGCAGUGGAUAGAAUGGUCCAGUUAACAGUUGUGAAUUCCAAUUACUAGGCUUGUAAGGCUUUCACACCAAGCGCAAAACCCGGUUUCGUUGAAAUUAUAGGUUUUGGCCGAAAAACUAAAUCGAAAACUCAAGUUUUCCCAUAAAUUUUGUUUAAACCACAAGUUUUCGUAAACCACAAGUUAGACUAAUCUCGAAAACUAAUAGCAAUUUAAAGUUUAACUAAACAAUCAAAUCUUUCGAAACAUUCAGCGCUCAAAUUAAUGUAAACAAAACAGCUGAUGGCUACUGUCAAAACAAAUAUUUCAUUUUGAAAUAAAUUUGGUCGUAAAUUAAGUCACAGCGGGUUAGGACAAAACAUUCCACAAUGUGGGAAUCAUUGUUCCAGUGAAUAAAACUACAGCAAGGGACUAUCGCCCCUUGAUGGACAGCGAUGCCAACAUCAAGAAGAUCCUCAGUCCUUUGGACAAGAUAGGCGAGUCCUCAAAGGACAAAGCCAAAGAGAUAGUCAUCACUCUGGAUAAGUGUGAUUUUGGUACAUAUCUGGAACUAGGAACUGACAUUUUCUGCUCCGGCCAUAAGGACCUACACGAAAUCGUUCAGAAUCUUUUCAACCCCACCUAUAAGUUGCCCGGACGGCCACAAUAUAUGGCGAUUCUGAAGAGACAUUUGGUCAGUAGAAGCAAUAGUCAUAAGCUCAGUAUUUUGGAUUGAAUUUGUUGUGUAAGAAGAAGAAAAUGUUUUAAAUAAAAUGAAUUUGUAUUGUAA